RNAcentral lists this unclassified non-coding RNA (694 nucleotides) under Hevea brasiliensis (rubber tree). Lineage: Eukaryota; Viridiplantae; Streptophyta; Magnoliopsida; Malpighiales; Euphorbiaceae. The record is from RNAcentral.
GCAAAUUUGUGAAAGAAUGGGUUCAAGGAGAGUAUUAGAGUAAACUUGCUUGCUGCUUGUUCCAACUUCCAAACAUUUUCUCUUAAAAAUUUUCCAGAAAAAAUUAUUGGGGAAGAGGUUGUUGAUAUAUGAUGAUUUGAUGGCACAGCAAGCCUGCUUGCUCAUUUUAAGGGUGGAACUGCAAGGGAGAGGAAAUAUUUGAUUUGAAAUUAGCUUCUCUUCAUUAUGUUGCUUGUAAAUGUAGGAAGAAGUUCCUUAUUCUGAUAGCCAAGAGACAUGGGUAAGUGUUUGGCCCAAAUCACAAGCGCUGAACAGAAUUUGCGUUUUUAAGGAAGUUUAGCUGGCUGUGGUUCAGCAGUCAUUGCUAAAACAAAUUGUGAGGCAGCUAUGUAAAUAAGAUGGUAACUUUUGGUUUGUGGCCCUGGGAAGUUGACAUCCUUUAAUAGUGUAAAGUCCCCUUCUUUCUCUCUACGCUUUAGUGGUGGGAGGGGACAACUAUGUAAACAUGACAUUUAAAUUUCUAUUCCUAAAAGAGCCAGAGCUGUAGCCCUUUUGCUCCUUUUUUCCCUGUGAAAUUCCAUUGUUUAAGUUGUUGACACCCUUUAGCAACUUGAAGCUCCUCCCCUUCCCUCUCUUGGGAAAAGAAAAAUCAAAUAGUUCAUGCUAUUCAUAUUCUUAAGAAAAUGAAGUGGAU